UAUCCUGGCUCAGGAUGAACGCUGGCGGCGUGCUUAACACAUGCAAGUCGAACGAAGCACUCUAUUUGAUUUUCUUCGGAAAUGAAGAUUUUGUGACUGAGUGGCGGACGGGUGAGUAACGCGUGGGUAACCUGCCUCAUACAGGGGGAUAACAGUUGGAAACGACUGCUAAUACCGCAUAAGCGCACAGGAUCGCAUGAUCCGGUGUGAAAAACUCCGGUGGUAUGAGAUGGACCCGCGUCUGAUUAGCCAGUUGGCAGGGUAACGGCCUACCAAAGCGACGAUCAGUAGCCGACCUGAGAGGGUGACCGGCCACAUUGGGACUGAGACACGGCCCAAACUCCUACGGGAGGCAGCAGUGGGGAAUAUUGCACAAUGGGGGAAACCCUGAUGCAGCGACGCCGCGUGAGCGAAGAAGUAUUUCGGUAUGUAAAGCUCUAUCAGCAGGGAAGAAGAAUGACGGUACCUGACUAAGAAGCACCGGCUAAAUACGUG
This 495-nucleotide ribosomal RNA is filed under the name uncultured Roseburia sp. RNAcentral's name for it is "bacterial SSU rRNA". It matches the Rfam family "Bacterial small subunit ribosomal RNA", at positions 15 to 507 of the family's 1533-position model. The record is from RNAcentral. Lineage: Bacteria; Bacillati; Bacillota; Clostridia; Lachnospirales; Lachnospiraceae.